AUUGAACGCUGGCGGCAGGCCUAACACAUGCAAGUCGAGCGGUAGAGAGGUGCUUGCAUCUCUUGAGAGCGGCGGACGGGUGAGUAAUGCCUAGGAAUCUGCCUAGUGGUGGGGGAUAACGUUCGGAAACGGACGCUAAUACCGCAUACGUCCUACGGGAGAAAGCGGGGGAUCUUCGGACCUCGCGCCAUUAGAUGAGCCUAGGUCGGAUUAGCUAGUUGGUGAGGUAAUGGCUCACCAAGGCGACGAUCCGUAACUGGUCUGAGAGGAUGAUCAGUCACACUGGAACUGAGACACGGUCCAGACUCCUACGGGAGGCAGCAGUGGGGAAUAUUGGACAAUGGGCGAAAGCCUGAUCCAGCCAUGCCGCGUGUGUGAAGAAGGUCUUCGGAUUGUAAAGCACUUUAAGUUGGGUAGGAAGGGUAGUAACCUAAUACGUUGCUACUUUGACGUUACCGACAGAAUAAGCACCGGCUAACUUCGUG
RNAcentral lists this ribosomal RNA (485 nucleotides) under uncultured bacterium. Its description in RNAcentral is "bacterial SSU rRNA". It matches the Rfam family "Bacterial small subunit ribosomal RNA", at positions 30 to 507 of the family's 1533-position model. The record is from RNAcentral.